AACGAACGCUGGCGGCAGGCUUAACACAUGCAAGUCGAACGCCCCGCAAGGGGAGUGGCAGACGGGUGAGUAACGCGUGGGAAUCUACCCAAUUCUUCGGAGCAACUGAGGGAAACUUCAGCUAAUACCGGAUACGCCCUACGGGGGAAAGGAUUUAUCGGAAUUGGAUGAGCCCGCGUUGGAUUAGCUAGUUGGUGAGGUAAUGGCUCACCAAGGCGACGAUCCAUAGCUGGUCUGAGAGGAUGAUCAGCCACACUGGGACUGAGACACGGCCCAGACUCCUACGGGAGGCAGCAGUGGGGAAUAUUGGACAAUGGGCGCAAGCCUGAUCCAGCCAUGCCGCGUGAGUGAUGAAGGCCUUAGGGUUGUAAAGCUCUUUUCAGGUAGGGAAGAUAAUGACGGUA
This 404-nucleotide ribosomal RNA is filed under the name uncultured bacterium. RNAcentral's name for it is "bacterial SSU rRNA". It matches the Rfam family "Bacterial small subunit ribosomal RNA", at positions 29 to 477 of the family's 1533-position model. The record is from RNAcentral.